GAGCAUAGCUCAGCUGGUUAGAGCACCUGCCUUACAAGCAGGGGGUCACUGGUUCGAGUCCAGUCG
This 66-nucleotide transfer RNA is filed under the name bovine gut metagenome. The stretch from base 6 to 64 matches the Rfam family "tRNA", at positions 8 to 63 of the family's 71-position model. Rfam says of the family: Transfer RNA (tRNA) molecules are approximately 80 nucleotides in length. Their secondary structure includes four short double-helical elements and three loops (D, anti-codon, and T loops). The record is from RNAcentral.